This is a long non-coding RNA of Oncorhynchus tshawytscha (Chinook salmon), 1184 nucleotides long. The record is from Ensembl. NCBI's taxonomy places the organism in Eukaryota, Metazoa, Chordata, Actinopteri, Salmoniformes, Salmonidae.
UGGAGUUCAUGCUUUAUUUGAAUAGUUUUAGUAGGAAAUUGCAUGGGCUUUUCGGUGAAUCCUAUUUCAUGGCUCUUUGAAAGCUCACAGCUUUUCUCUCCCAACUACCAAGUUAUAUCAAUACAGACCAAAUUGAGGUGUAAAAGUUCUGACGGGCAGGUAACUUUUAUUUUUGGACCUUGGUGCUGAUGUAUUGCGAUUCAAUGUUCCUAACAUUGCUCACCAUAUGUCUCAUCACUUCUAGAGGAGCCAUGUCUGCGUUUUGGCACAGGUACAGCAGAUUUAAGGGGUUGAUUAACACUACCUGCUAUAGUUGACUAGUGCCAGUCCACAAACCUGAGGACACCACUGCUAAAUGUAAUUGAGUUGAAGUACCCAAUUUGCCUGGAACAGUCAUUCCUAUUCAUGAAUUCAACCCAAUGUAUACAAAAUCUUGAUCAAAUGCCUAAUGAGCAAAGCAUGUAAAGGAGGAUCAUCCUGCUCUUCAUUUCAGUAAUCAUAGAGAUCUAUAAACCUGUCUGGAUUGAAUUGAGGCAACAUCACAUGCAAUCUUCACUGACAAAUGGGUUCAACAUCUAUUGUACUACCAGUAAUAUUAAUUGUACAUUAAUAUCAUUUCACAAAACAAAUUCAGUGGCUGAGUAACACUAUCACAUCAAUAUAAACAGGUUGUACGUUCUUAACUUAAUGAAACCAAAAGACCCAGUCCCCCAGAAUACUGCUAUUACACAAGUAUGCAUAAUAUAUGUCCAGAGAUUGGACAAAUCCUGACCAAUCCAUUGGUUUGUUCAUCUUUCUUACAGUCCAGUCCUGUAUGCUUGUCACUAAAAUGCAUACAAUUCUACCUUGAAGCUAUCAAGGGAUUUUAUUCUGGAUAAAUAAAGGUCGAAGAAACAGCAGUCACUUCCUUCUCAGACAAAGAUAAUUAUACAUAUUCAAGACUGCAUAUAAAUGAAAGUCACAAAAUAACCAUGUAUUAUACAGUUACGUACUCAAUGUACUAUGAUUGUCAAACAGUACAAAGAGGUCAAUUUCAUGAUCGCUGUCACGAGCAUAUAGAAAAAUACUAAACAAUCCCUUUCAGUUCAUCAGUUCAGGAAGGUCAGGAAAAAUGUCUUAAAAAAUAAAAAAAGCCAUUCCAUCCCUUGACUUGUGACGAUCCUCUUCAUUGUUUCUUUCCCCCC